AGCUGUGUGUGUGUGUGCAGCACCGAAGAGAACACACUCCGGGCUGCUGGCGUUUGAAAGCUAAUCGAUGCUGCUUUUUCUGAGCCCGAUACCGAAACGUGUGAUGUCCGGAAGCACAUGUCACUUGACUAUUGUAGCGCCGAGCAAACUGCGUUUCCCCCCCGGAACCGCUGCGAGCAACACGGGUUAGCCCCACCGCGGGUGCUCGGUCGUAUCUGGUGGGUUGUGUGAUAAUUAUGUAGUCGACUUCAAAUGUGGAUACAUGUGUUAUUUGGGUCAGAGGUCACGUUCCCCUUUGUGCAUGGCUGUGGUUGCCCUGGGGGAGCGGGAGCGGGAGCCUGUCUCCUUUUGUUGUGCAGGACUUGCAGGCGAGGCCUCUACACUUGCGGGGGAAAGAUAAUUCUUAUCAUUUGUUGUUGCUGUUUUUGGACUGACGAAGGCCCCGGGCUGGUUUCAGUAUCACAGAGGGGAUGCAAACAUCGGAGCCCCUGUGGAACUUUGAAGGGAAGAGGAAGGUAAAUUUAAUGAUGCAAACACACAAAGUGAUUGAUUUUUCUAUUCAAAUCCAUUUAAGAACUAAAGCUCCACCUGAAUGAAUUAUUUGUGUCAUGUGAAGAUGUCAUUGAUUUGAAAAGCCUGACUCAAUAGAUUUGAACACAGGGUUUUUGGAUUCCAAAUAUAUAUGUAUAUAGAUAUUGGGGCACCAGGAGAAGCCUACCCCUCUGCCCUUCCCACAGUCACAAUCACAGCAGGAAGAAUGCCUCCACUGGGAACAAUACAUCCUAUGACAAUAUCCAGCCUAGACAAAGAGGCAGUCCAAAUACAGGCUGCUCCACAAAAGCUAGCCCAGAUUUGAGUGAGGGGCCAACCCCGACGUACCUCAUAGGCAGGUCCUCAUUCCUGACAGAGAUCCCAGCCGCAGAGGGGGGACAGCGCAUGCUGUUGGCAUACAAACUCUGCACCAGAGCCAGCUCAGAAGAGUGUUCCAACAUCGGUGCUCUGGAAAAAUCCACCCGGUGUAAUGGACACUUUCUUCUCUUUCCCUCUUUCCUCUAUGUGUUUCUCUCUCUUUCUCUGUCUCCCGCCCACUCUUUCUCCUCGGUUUAGUGCAGCAGAGCGGCGCCCACCCCCUUUGCUGACUGGCGUGGCUGAAAUAAUCCUCUCUGACAGCUCAUCAUGCGCUAAUGCAUUGUGUUGCCUGCGGCAGCCCAGUUUGCAGGCUGUAAAGCUGUGGCUAUAGUAGCACCCCUGCGCUAAUUGACACCCAUAUUAGGGAAACUUGGGGAAAUUGGACGUAGAUGAUUUAUUCCCACUGUCAGAGUUUGGGAAAAUUAGAAGCAGUUGCCACAAGAGCUCAUCCACAAGUUCUGGUUUUGUGGCAUGUCUCUGUGGGUGUUAACAACAGUGCUACAAAAUAAAGGUCAAAGUGAGGUACGCUCCUGGAAAUUGGUUUACCAAACCUGAUCACCUCAUAACUGAGCCUAUUAUAACUGAUAUUCUCAUUAAAUAAACUGCCAACCUCUCAUACUGUAGGUAAACAUUACCAUCCCCUGUCCAGCUCCUGUGAGUCGGCUGAUAAUAAACCUGUGGGUGACGGGGACAGAGCUUGCCAUGACAAUCUCAUGACAUCAUUAUUCUGGAGUAUAAAGAUAGCCUGUCAGGGCAUAAGCAAACAUUACAGUCAGCAUGAAUGCAUCUUAUAUAAACCGUACUGUCGCUGGAGCUCACCAUCAGGCUGCAGUCAAUCUACGCUGGGACUGAAAUCCCUGCAGGUUAAUUUUACUGCCUGUGGUUCCAAUGGUACAUGUUCACCUGUGAGUAGACCCACAGCAUCAUGCACACACACACAUGAGCUCUAUAAUUCUGCAGAAACAUGUAGGGUAGGAAUUUGUUCCAUCAACCAAAGGCAGGAUUCAGUUCACAGUGAAGAAGCUUUUACGGCAAAGACAACAGGCACAUUCAUUUGCUUUGGACAAAGUUAAUUUGCAUUAGGCAAAGCUCAUUUGCCUACAUCCCAUGAGCCACAUAGUUUUCCGUCGUGCUCAUCACUGGUGAACAUAUCAUCUCAUAACCAACACGCUUCAAACACCACCAUCAUCUCAUCCGAUUAAAAAUGAAAGAGCAAUUUGUCUCGAUAUUCUUUGCACAAAACCCAGGAGAAAUCAAAUCUAGGCCUCGCUGUCCCAUAGGUGCUGUGUCCCUUCAGAGCAAACCUGACAUUAAGUAGGAAAGUCAUCUGAAACAGGGUCAUGUCAGUGCGUCCUGGUAUCAGAACAGUCGACAGGGCCUGAGCGAAGAAGGGACUCCACUUCCUCCGAUCGUGGCACAAAUCCUCUUGGUUUCUGCCCCACAUUUCUUUCUGCUGACAUGAAUAUUUUAAAACACUGAUGUUGAAAUGCAGUUCUAUAUGAUGCGUUGCUGCUUAAUAUAUCUGUCAGUGCCACAGGCGUCAUGUAGAGCACAGAGUAACAGAGAGGGGGUUUCUCUCUCUGCUGAUCCGCCUGUGUACAAGCACUGAGAACCCUCUGCAGUAAUGUUUUACAGUUAAUUUAUAUGAAAAGCGGUUACAGAAGUAAAAUAGUGCAACAGACAUGGUGAGAAAAUGCUGUAAGAAAUGCACUUAGAACACAGGGAGAUUCUGAAAAGCAGGAAGUGAAUGCAGCCACAUCCUGUGCACAUCUCGGAGCCUUUUAGCUCAUGCUGCACUUGUGCCUGUCAUGCAAAAAGUCAAAUAACAGCCCUGCAGGUGGUCUCAUGAGAAGUGAAAGCUUUCCCUUUUUACCACUUUUAGGGUCCCUGGGGACUGACUGCUCGAGCAAAUGCAGUCUGUGUUUUUGUGGGUUAAAACUGAAACUGUCACAACUGGGUGCACAUUGUGCACUGUAGCGUGCUCAAAUGUCAAGAACUGUUUUAACAUUAAAGUAAAGAAGUAGUUUGUCAUUUUCAAUUUAAAGCAUGUCACCCGUGUAUGUGUAAAUAAGCAGCACAUGUUGAGCAUUAUAUCAUGCUUAAAAGGCAAUGUAAGAUAAUAAAGAUUUAAUUUUCUUUAAUGUG
Hippoglossus stenolepis (Pacific halibut) is the source of this 3054-nucleotide long non-coding RNA. RefSeq lists it as uncharacterized. The record is from RefSeq and is a predicted model, not a curated record. The transcript has 4 exons. Lineage: Eukaryota; Metazoa; Chordata; Actinopteri; Pleuronectiformes; Pleuronectidae.